ACGAGUUCGCCGAUUUAGCUUUAGGGAAAUAUUUUCGGUAACGCACCGUACCGGUAUUCUAACGCAUCCCGGUACCGGUACUGUCCAAAUUAUCAACUUGGCAAGCGAAUUUGUUAGAGAAAUAUUUUAUAUUUGACAAAGCAGAUGAAUGCAAAAAGGGAUAUAACACACAAGAGCCGUCAGCUUCCUUUUUUGUACCGGUGCCAGGAAAAAAAAAAAUUCCAUGCUGACGCUUAUUAUUUGGUCACAAGAUUGAAGGACUAUGGAGGUUUCCCGAACUGCUUUCAACUCAGCCUGAAGCACAAUUCAAGGAUGUUUGAUUGAAAUGAAUAAAGCUGCUGGACACGGACUCUACUCUAGUCUUGGGUAGCAAGAAUAUAUUUCGAUCCAAUCUCUCCAACAUGAAAACAAUGAAUUGCGACAAGAAAAUUUGAUUGAACUGAACAAAGUUGCCGGACACAGACCAAGGUCUACUUUAGUCUUAAGUAUUCAGCAAGAAAAUAAUGCAAUUCGGUCCCUACAACAUGAGAAUGAUGAAUUGCGACAAAGUUUGACCGUCCACCAGAACGCAUUGGAACUUAUCAUGACCAAGUACAGACAGCAGAUGAUGAAAUUUA
Non-coding RNA from Styela clava, 617 nucleotides. The record is from RefSeq and is a predicted model, not a curated record. Lineage: Eukaryota; Metazoa; Chordata; Ascidiacea; Stolidobranchia; Styelidae.